GACGAACGCUGGCGGCGUGCUUAACACAUGCAAGUCGAACGGAAAGGCCUCUUUCGGGGGGUACUCGAGUGGCGAACGGGUGAGUAACACGUGAGUAACCUGCCCUUGACUUUGGGAUAACUUCAGGAAACUGGGGCUAAUACCGGAUAGGAGCUCCUGCUGCAUGGUGGGGGUUGGAAAGUUUCGGCGGUUGGGGAUGGACUCGCGGCUUAUCAGCUUGUUGGUGGGGUAGUGGCUUACCAAGGCUUUGACGGGUAGCCGGCCUUGGAGGGUGACCGGCCACAUUGGGACUGAGAUACGGCCCAGACUCCGACGGGAGGCAGCAGUGGGGAAUAUUGCACAAUGGGUGGAAGCCUGAUGCAGCAACGCCGUGUGCGGGAUGACGGCCUUCGGGUUGUAAACCGCUUUCGCUCAUGACGAAGCUUUGUGUGACGGUAGUGGGUAAAGAAGCACCGGCUAACUACGUG
RNAcentral lists this ribosomal RNA (467 nucleotides) under uncultured bacterium. Its description in RNAcentral is "partial 16S ribosomal RNA". It matches the Rfam family "Bacterial small subunit ribosomal RNA", at positions 28 to 507 of the family's 1533-position model. The record is from RNAcentral.